Molecule: non-coding RNA, 75 nt
Organism: Myotis davidii
Lineage: Eukaryota; Metazoa; Chordata; Mammalia; Chiroptera; Vespertilionidae
Source: Rfam
GGCAGUUCUCCAGUGAUGCACCCUACAAUUGGGCUCCCUCAUCCCCGGUUCCAGGUGCAUCACCCAAGAACCACA